GAUGAACGCUGGCGGCGUGCCUAAUACAUGCAAGUCGAGCGAACAGACGAGGAGCUUGCUCCUUUGACGUUAGCGGCGGACGGGUGAGUAACACGUGGGUAACCUACCUAUAAGACUGGGAUAACUUCGGGAAACCGGAGCUAAUACCGGAUAAUAUUUCGAACCGCAUGGUUCGAUAGUGAAAGAUGGCUCUGCUAUCACUUAUAGAUGGACCUGCGCCGUAUUAGCUAGUUGGUAAGGUAACGGCUUACCAAGGCAACGAUACGUAGCCGACCUGAGAGGUUGAUCGGCCACACUGGAACUGAGACACGGUCCAGACUCCUACGGGAGGCAGCAGUAGGGAAUCUUCCGCAAUGGGCGAAAGCCUGACGGAGCAACGCCGCGUGAGUGAUGAAGGUCUUCGGAUCGUAAAACUCUGUUAUUAGGGAAGAACAAACGUGUAAGUAACUGUGCACGUCUUGACGGUACCUAAUCAGAAAGCCACGGCUAACUACGUG
Molecule: ribosomal RNA, 497 nt
Filed under: uncultured bacterium
Lineage: Bacteria
Description: partial 16S ribosomal RNA
Rfam family: Bacterial small subunit ribosomal RNA
Source: RNAcentral